UAAUUAUGAGUAUCCAAAUAAUUUGAUAGUUAAUUAUGAACAAUUGGUAUCUCAAAUUAUUAAAUUAAAACUCUAACAAAAAUUCUACACUUGACCAUGGAGCAUCUAAGAGAAUUACAAAAGACAUCACAUGGAUAAAUGAUAAAGAUUCUUUUUGACAGCCUCCACGAACAAUGCGGCAACUCACCUCAAUAACUGAAUAAACUCCAACGAACUCGUCAGCUAUUAGCUCCGUCUUCACCAAUGGUAUCUGCAUAGACAUGCAGAUAAGGAGUGAGUUACAUGUAAAUAUAACCUAGUAAGAUCCUCGACCCGCCACUUUAAAUACCUCUGGAACAAGUGUUGGAAAAUNNNNNNNNNNNNNNNNNNNNACGGUACAACAAACUCGACAUCAUGGCGCACAACCGUAUCAAACUCAACAUCAUGGCGCACAACCGUAUCAAACUCAACAUCAUGGCGCACAGCCGUAUCAAACUCAAUAUGAUGGUGCACAGCCGUAUCAAACUCAACAUCAUGGCGCACAACCGUAUCAAACUCAAUAUGAUGGCGCACAGCCGUAUCAAACUAUAAAACUCAACCUUAUGGCACACAACCGUAUCAACCUAUCAAACAACUUAUAAAAUAAUAUAUAUUUUCUUCAUAAAAUAAUAUAUUUGUGGCUAGUCUAAGACCACCGAUUCUGCCAAGCGCAUGCUUGUCCCAACACAUGGACCAGGCAGAGAAAAUACACUUUCAAAACGGAUUUUAGAGAAGCAAGUAUCAAAGCAUAAAGUCUCACUUACCUUGAUAACGACCAGUCCCGCAAUUUUGGUGACGCCCAAAACAUUGACCAAAUUGGACCGCAAUCUAUGCAAAAUAUUGAUUAGCAUUAUCAAUCAUUCUAGUCGUAGUCAUUUUAUUUUUGGAGUAGGUAUAUCAUAAAAAAAUAAAGCUCCCCAUCAAUAUGAUUAAAUCCUCGAUCUAACUAUAUUUCCGAGUUAUUCAUAAGUCAAGAGGUGAAACCUAUAAUCAAGUUCUAAUCUUAGUGCUAACUGACAUAUCAAAUCUUAUAUUUCAUAAAUUUCAAGCUUCGGGUUAAAUGUUUGUAUUUUACACCUCAAAUACAUAUUUUAAGGUCAAAACAUAUUUUAAUAUCACCAUCCGAACUUAAUUGGUGAAUAUUAUAUCCAACAUUUUUAUACUCUUGUGCCAAAAUAAUAUUCCUAGCAAGUAUACAAGUUUGAAAAAAAAAUAUAGUACAUAACCCCCAAAAUAGUGGCAUUCCCAUAGAACUAAUACGUUAAUCUAUAUUUCCAAUUGCUAUAAUGAUUAAUCUCAUGAUUGCAUAAUAAUUAUUCUAUCCUAAAUCAUAGCCAUUAUAAUUACAUUCAAUCGUAGUAUCAUCAUUAAACUAAUUACUUCAACUCAAAUUAAUAUGUAACUGAAGGAUAGAAGUAGAUUAACAUAUUCGUAUACCUGAUUGUUUAUAAUUCUCCACACAAGGUCUCCAUGUAGUGUAAGUUAAUCGAGCCCAAACAACCAUUUAUUUUCCAUCGCACUGCCGCCGUCUGCUGCUCCAAAUAGUCCCUCUUUGAGUUGAUUUUUUUUCUCCAUAUCAAAUAUUAG
This 1605-nucleotide long non-coding RNA is filed under the name Nicotiana tabacum (common tobacco). RNAcentral describes it as "long non-coding RNA (NTAB_LNC001573)". The record is from RNAcentral. Lineage: Eukaryota; Viridiplantae; Streptophyta; Magnoliopsida; Solanales; Solanaceae.